GAUGAAGAACGUAGCGAAAUGCGAUAAGUAAUGUGAAUUGCAGAAUUCAGUGAAUCAUCGAAUCUUUGAACGCACCUUGCGCCUUUUGGUAUUCCGAAAGGCACACCGGUUUGAGCGUCAUGAAUACCUCAAUCUCCAUCUUUUCUUCGGAUUGAUGGGUGACUUGGAUGUUGAGCCCUGCUGGUAUGCUAUAUCAGCUGGCUUUAAACUUAUUAGCCGGCUCUGUACUGGAUCGGUUUGACUCGACGUGAUAAUAUUAUCGUUGAGGAUGCAUGUCUCAUGCAGCCGGAAAGUAUCAAAGCGGCUUCUAGCUUGCCUUGAGUGCACUUUUACAUUUUAGACCUCAGGUCAGGUGGGACUACCCGCUGAACUUAAGCAUAUCAAUAAGCGGAGGA
RNAcentral lists this unclassified non-coding RNA (395 nucleotides) under soil metagenome. Its description in RNAcentral is "partial contains 5.8S ribosomal RNA, internal transcribed spacer 2, and large subunit ribosomal RNA". The stretch from base 1 to 120 matches the Rfam family "5.8S ribosomal RNA", at positions 35 to 154 of the family's 154-position model. The record is from RNAcentral.